CGUGUAGGCGGUCAGGUAAGUGAGACGUGAAAUGCCUCGGCUCACCCGAGGAGCGGCGUCUCAUACUGCUUGGCUUGAGUACGGGAGAGGAUGUGGGAAUUCCUGGUGUAGCGGUGAAAUGCGUAGAUAUCAGGAGGAACACCGGUGGCGAAGGCGCACAUCUGGCCCGAUACUGACGCUGAGGCGCGAAAGCUAGGGGAGCAAACG
RNAcentral lists this ribosomal RNA (207 nucleotides) under uncultured bacterium. RNAcentral's name for it is "partial 16S ribosomal RNA". It matches the Rfam family "Bacterial small subunit ribosomal RNA", at positions 568 to 774 of the family's 1533-position model. The record is from RNAcentral.